GAUGAAGAACGCAGCGAAAUGCGAUAAGUAAUGUGAAUUGCAGAAUUCAGUGAAUCAUCGAAUCUUUGAACGCACAUUGCGCCCCCUGUUAUUCCGGGGGGCAUGCCUGUCCGAGCGUCAUUACAACCCUCAAGCUCAGCUUGGUAUUGGGCCCCGCCGCUCCGGCGGGCCCUAAAGUCAGUGGCGGUGCCGUCCGGCUCCGAGCGUAGUAAUUCUUCUCGCUCUGGAGGUCCGGUCGUGUGCUCGCCAGCAACCCCCAAUUUUUUUCAGGUUGACCUCGGAUCAGGUAGGGAUACCCGCUGAACUUAAGCAUAUCAAAAGCGGAGGA
RNAcentral lists this unclassified non-coding RNA (328 nucleotides) under soil metagenome. Its description in RNAcentral is "partial contains 5.8S ribosomal RNA, internal transcribed spacer 2, and large subunit ribosomal RNA". The stretch from base 1 to 120 matches the Rfam family "5.8S ribosomal RNA", at positions 35 to 154 of the family's 154-position model. The record is from RNAcentral.